RNAcentral lists this ribosomal RNA (1130 nucleotides) under uncultured bacterium. Its description in RNAcentral is "bacterial SSU rRNA". It matches the Rfam family "Bacterial small subunit ribosomal RNA", at positions 39 to 1178 of the family's 1533-position model. The record is from RNAcentral.
GCGGCGUGCUUAACACAUGCAAGUCGAACGGGAUCCAUCAAGCUUGCUUGGUGGUGAGAGUGGCGAACGGGUGAGUAAUGCGUGACCAACCUGCCCUGUACUCUGGAAUAGCUCCUGGAAACGGGUGGUAAUGCCGGAUGCUCCACAUGGGUGCAUGCCUGUGUGGGAAAGGGUUUACCGGUAUGGGAUGGGGUCGCGUCCUAUCAGCUUGACGGCGGGGUAAUGGCCCACCGUGGCUUUGACGGGUAGCCGGCCUGAGAGGGCGACCGGCCACAUUGGGACUGAGAUACGGCCCAGACUCCUACGGGAGGCAGCAGUGGGGAAUAUUGCACAAUGGGGGGAACCCUGAUGCAGCGACGCCGCGUGCGGGAUGACGGCCUUCGGGUUGUAAACCGCUUUUGAUUGGGAGCAAGCGUUAAGUGAGUGUACCUUUCGAAUAAGCGCCGGCUAACUACGUGCCAGCAGCCGCGGUAAUACGUAGGGCGCAAGCGUUGUCCGGAAUUAUUGGGCGUAAAGGGCUCGUAGGCGGCUCGUCGCGUCUGGUGUGAAAGUCCAUCGCUUAACGGUGGAUCUGCGCCGGGUACGGGCGGGCUGGAGUGCGGUAGGGGAGACUGGAAUUCCCGGUGUAACGGUGGAAUGUGUAGAUAUCGGGAGGAACACCAAUGGCGAAGGCAGGUCUCUGGGCCGUUACUGACGCUGAGGAGCGAAAGCGUGGGGAGCGAACAGGAUUAGAUACCCUGGUAGUCCACGCCGUAAACGGUGGACGCUGGAUGUGGGGCCCAUUCCACGGGUUCCGUGUCGGAGCUAACGCGUUAAGCGUCCCGCCUGGGGAGUACGGCCGCAAGGCUAAAACUCAAAGAAAUUGACGGGGGCCUGCACAAGCGGCGGAGCAUGCGGAUUAAUUCGAUGCAACGCGAAGAACCUUACCUGGGCUUGACAUGUUCCCGGCGACAUCAGAGAUGGUGUUUCCCUUCGGGGCGGGUUCACAGGUGGUGCAUGGUCGUCGUCAGCUCGUGUCGUGAGAUGUUGGGUUAAGUCCCGCAACGAGCGCAACCCUCGCCCCGUGUUGCCAGCACGUCUUGGUGGGAACUCACGGGGGACCGCCGGGGUUAACUCGGAGGAAGGUGGGG